This 2433-nucleotide ribosomal RNA is filed under the name Triticum aestivum (bread wheat). RNAcentral describes it as "partial small subunit ribosomal RNA". Lineage: Eukaryota; Viridiplantae; Streptophyta; Magnoliopsida; Poales; Poaceae. The record is from RNAcentral.
GAACGGUCCCUAGGUUUGCGCGGGAUUUAAAGAGAGGGGACGAAAUGGUGGUUCGGGAUGUGGACGGCGGCACGGCAAGGGGUCGCCGCAGUGGCGGCCGCGGAGUUAGGGGUAUGGGGUACGGGGGGCGGGGGUGGGUGGUGCCGGAGAGUGCGCGCGCCGGCGGUAGCGGCAAGGGCAAGAAGGAGCAGCCCUGUAGCGCAAGGACGGCAGAGGUGGGGCAGGCGUCAACUCAAAACUCCGCGCGCGGGCCGUCUUGAAGAUCUAAGCGGGGGCGCCGCCGCGGGCUGUACAGCUGGGGGAGGCCGGGGCCCCUUCGGCUGCCUCGGUGCGGGCGACGGAGAUGCAUAAUGCUGCAGAAGCCGGGGCUGCGAUUUGGACUACAAUAAAAAUUCCUCCGGUGAAGUCUAAGGUGUAACUUAGACGUCCUACAGGUCCCCGAUCAUUGAACCCAAUAACCACUUCCGUACGGCGGAAGUACCCACAAACAAUUUUUGUUCGGAGAAUAGGGUUUUCAAUAGGAAGAGAUACAAGGACCGGAGCUACGUCGAAAUAUGUACAGAGUCAGGGCGGAGGACAGAAGAAACUUUCUUAACACACCGUUAGGUUUUGGACAAGAUCGAAGUUCAACACAUGGUCUACUUUCCGUAUGGUAACUGCGUGAGGACUGUACGUCUCAUUUCGCUUUCGCCGUCAGUGUUUGUAGUUUGGUUGGUAGACUUAGACUACCUCCAUUUAAUAGUUCAGACCGCCUGGAUUUUCUAUAUGGUAAAGGACAAUUUAUAAUGUGUGAAAGAUUUUUCCUAAACCUUCUAUUACCGAUGAGAGAGUUAAAUGGUCCAAAACAGGGAUGCUAACGUCGAGGAAGUCCGAGAAGGGGUAUACUUUAAGAGCGAGAACUAACACUCUACACACACUGUCGUCGACCUAAACUUGAAUGUUCUCACUGUAAUCAGCUAUAAUUUCCUCUCCACUAUGACCUAUUUGAUCAGUUCGGAUGGUUAGGUUAGUGACUAAUGUUAUGUUCCAAAUCACCUUAGUGACGACUCUACGAUAGGCUACACUGUUGUUGGGAGGUCCUCUAAGUCCUUCUCAAAUAACCUGAACACAUGUUUCUUUGGUAAGAACAACCCGUAAGAAACCUUUUACUGGAAAACCGUAAUGCCUAUAGAGUACUGAACCAGUAGCUGUGACGACAAAACAUGUUUAUAUUAGCACCGUGGGCGACGUUUUAACGAAAUGCACAGGACCGUUUGUUUAUAGAAUCGGCCCACUAGGUCUUGUGUCCCAGACCCGUACUGUCGCACCUUCUACGUUCUCGACGAGACCUAGAACGGAAAAACUUUUAGUUUAUACCAGGACUAAAACCGAGAGGUGGCAGCAAAAGUGCUUCUUUCAACAGAAGGUAAGACGUACUUACACCCUUUUCCUCAAGGGAGUAACUACUUCACAAACAAGAACUGGCGAUAAGUCUACGAAGGACGUUAAGUUAACGUCAAAAGAGUCUACUACUACGGGAGAGGUCUAGUUACUUUCUCCAUUUCUUACUGUUUUAGUCGAAACAGACCUGAGUCAAAAGUCCUAACUAGAGAAUAGAUGCAUUUUCUCGACUUUUAGGACUUUUUGACUUUAGGACACAACGCCUCCGAUAACGUAACUUUUGGACACUGUCUUUUUGACGGGCCUUUUCUCGUUUCGUUUAAACAGGUCUCGACUUCCGUUAAAACUCACUUAACCUGUUCUUUUAUUUUUUUGAUAUACUAUGUGACGGACUUUUACGUUACAAAUAAAAUACAUGGCCAGUACCCCUAUGAGGAAACCAGGUUUCUAAUUUCUUUUACGAGUUGGUACCUCUUCUUUGUCAGCUAUCGGCCCUUUUAUAACAGGUACGUAACCUUCUAAAUGUCCGAGUUCGUCUUCAACGAGAUACGAAGACGACACAGUUCGUAAUCGAGGAACGACCUUCCUACCUAAGUCCACACGUAGGACUGUCAGUGAUAGUGAAAACUUCUAACUACUACGUGGACGUUUGCCGAAGCAAUUAAAAUCCUUCCUACCUCAGCACGUACCUGACCUAGGAUUGGCUGACUGUACUUUUGAACUCCGAUAAUGUGCCUAAGUCGAAACUUUGUGCCGAAACUUCAGGCUCCACACGGAAUACUAAAAAACACCCGACCCUGCUAUCCAACAUGACAUCUAGUAAACGUAGUGAAAAGCCUAAAGUCCGUAUGAUUAAACCACCCGACCCUACCAUUAAAGGUCAUUAACAAACAUAAAGCGUGGACCCAUUUAAGACUUUAGUGGGUUUUUGAUUUUAACGUGACUAAAAUCAGAUCAUUACUGUUACAUCACGUGCACGGAGAUGCUUCAUCAGGGCUCGUGCUGCCACGGUGUUCGGGGCGCGAAAGAAGUCUUAUAAACCCGCAAACACCA